This 477-nucleotide ribosomal RNA is filed under the name uncultured bacterium. Its description in RNAcentral is "bacterial SSU rRNA". It matches the Rfam family "Bacterial small subunit ribosomal RNA", at positions 35 to 507 of the family's 1533-position model. The record is from RNAcentral.
GCUGGCGGCAGGCUUAACACAUGCAAGUCGAGCGGUAGCGGAUCUAGCUUGCUAGAUGCUGACGAGCGGCGGACGGGUGAGUAACGCGUAGGAACCUGCCCAGUAGUGGGGGAUAGCCCGGGGAAACUCGGAUUAAUACCGCAUACGCUCUACGGAGGAAAGAGGGGGCUUCGGCUCUCGCUAUUGGAUGGGCCUGCGUGAGAUUAGCUAGUUGGUGAGGUAAUGGCUCACCAAGGCGACGAUCUCUAGCUGGUCUGAGAGGAUGAUCAGCCACACUGGGACUGAGACACGGCCCAGACUCCUACGGGAGGCAGCAGUGGGGAAUAUUGCACAAUGGGCGCAAGCCUGAUGCAGCCAUGCCGCGUGUGUGAAGAAGGCUUUCGGGUUGUAAAGCACUUUCAGUGGGGAGGAAGGCCUCGUAGUUAAUAGCUGCGAGGAUUGACGUUACCCACAGAAGAAGCACCGGCUAACUCCGUG